GACGAACGCUGGCGGCGUGCUUAACACAUGCAAGUCGAACGGUAAGGCCCUUCGGGGUACACGAGUGGCGAACGGGUGAGUAACACGUGGGUGAUCUGCCCUGCACUUCGGGAUAAGCCUGGGAAACUGGGUCUAAUACCGGAUAGGACCACUGCCUGCAUGGGCGGUGGUGGAAAGCUUUUGCGGUGUGGGAUGGGCCCGCGGCCGAUCAGCUUGUUGGUGGGGUGAUGGCCUACCAAGGCGACGACGGGUAGCCGGCCUGAGAGGGUGACCGGCCACACUGGGACUGAGAUACGGCCCAGACUCCUACGGGAGGCAGCAGUGGGGAAUAUUGCACAAUGGGCGCAAGCCUGAUGCAGCGACGCCGCGUGAGGGAUGACGGCCUUCGGGUUGUAAACCUCUUUCAGCACCGACGAAGCGCAAGUGACGGUAGGUGCAGAAGAAGGACCGGCCAACUACGUGCCAGCCGCCGCCGUAA
RNAcentral lists this ribosomal RNA (478 nucleotides) under uncultured bacterium. Its description in RNAcentral is "partial 16S ribosomal RNA". It matches the Rfam family "Bacterial small subunit ribosomal RNA", at positions 28 to 523 of the family's 1533-position model. The record is from RNAcentral.